AAGCUUCGAACUCAACAGUGGAGAUUGUUGCACAACAUUAUGAAUGUACUUAAUGCUACUGAAUUGUAUACUUUUAAAGCAAAGUGGAACCUAACAAGGUAUAACAUGGAAGGACUAAAUUUAGUGUACUAUCCUGGAUGGGAUACUGGGACAGCAAAAGGACAUUAGGUAAAAACCAAGGAAAUCUGAUAAAGUCCAGACUAUAGUUAAUAAUACACUUUCUGUGUUGCUUCACUAAGUUGAACAAAUGUUCCAUAGUAAUGCACAAGGUUAAUAAGCGGAAUUUGCUAUGGAGUGUACGAUUAUACUCUUCACAAUUAUUCUGCAAAUCUAAAACAUCUAAAGCAAAAAAAUUUUUCUAAAAAAAAAAAACAACAGAAAAUACUAGGGGAUGAGACCUGGAAGAUGACAGAAUUAAGCACUGAAUGGGGGUGGCCAUGAGGAAUGAUUUGGAGGGAACACUGGCUUCCUAACUUCUACACCACAAGAAUUGAGCCAGACAAGAUGAGGAAACAUGGAAAGUCAAAUUGGGAAGGCUCUUUAAUGGGUGUUGAGGAAGCACUCCCUUUCUCAAACCAGAGCACCUGGACUCCUUUGCAGCCUCCCCUCCCCCAUGGAUGUUCAUAAGUGGCGCUUUGUGAUGUCAACAAUGUCAGGGCUACCAUUGGCUGGAGAAAUUUCUUGCUGACCAAUCAAACUGCCAGUUGUGGCUCUUCAUGUCCUGGGAAGGUAUAUAUAGAGACGCCAGGCGCCUUGGUGUAGGCCACUGUUGCUACAACAUGGGAGGCCUACUUGAGAAAGUGGAGGAGGAGGAAACGGAAAUUGAGAUAGACAACAUCAAUUUGAAGGAAGAAGCCUCAAGCUCCACAGAAAGGAAGAGAAAUCAUUCUGAUCAGCCCAAUGGCUUGGACAAUACAAAUCCUCAUGGAGAAGAUAAAAGCAAUCCUUCAGGAGAAUCCGGACAGGAAUAUGAAAGAGACCUCGACGAUACUAAUCUUCUACUACCACCGGCAGAAUAA
Molecule: long non-coding RNA, 1019 nt
Filed under: Ovis aries (sheep)
Lineage: Eukaryota; Metazoa; Chordata; Mammalia; Artiodactyla; Bovidae
Description: lncRNA (ENSOARG00000025388.1)
Source: RNAcentral